This 1848-nucleotide ribosomal RNA is filed under the name Stichodactyla helianthus. RNAcentral describes it as "bacterial LSU rRNA". It matches the Rfam family "Bacterial large subunit ribosomal RNA", at positions 1016 to 2848 of the family's 2925-position model. The record is from RNAcentral. Lineage: Eukaryota; Metazoa; Cnidaria; Anthozoa; Actiniaria; Stichodactylidae.
AGGGAAACAACCCAGACCGUCAGCUAAGGUCCCAAAGUGUAUGUUAAGUGGGAAACGAUGUGGGAAGGCUAAAACAGCUAGGAGGUUGGCUUAGAAGCAGCCAUCCUUUAAAGAAAGCGUAAUAGCUCACUAGUCGAGUCGGCCUGCGCGGAAGAUGUAACGGGGCUAAACAUACCACCGAAGCUACGGCUGCAUACAUUAGUAUGCGGGGUAGGGGAGCGUUCUGUAAGUGGCUGAAGGUGUGCCGGGAGGCAUGCUGGACAUAUCAGAAGUGCGAAUGCUGACAUGAGUAACGAUAAUGCGGGUGAAAAACCCGCACGCCGGAAGACCAAGGGUUCCUAUCCCAUGUUAAUCAGGGUAGGGUAAGUCGACCCCUAAGGCGAGGCUGAAGAGCGUAGUCGAUGGGAAACGGGUUAAUAUUCCCGUACUUGGAAUAAUUGCGAUGGGGGGACGGAGCAGGCUAAUCAAGCAUGGCGUUGGUUGUCCAUGUGAAAGUGAGUAGGCUGGUGACUUAGGCAAAUCCGGGUCACUAAGGCUGAGACACGAGACGACACUCUACGGAGUGGAAGUUGAUGAUGCCCUACUUCCAGGAAAAGCCUCUAAGCUUCAGAUAAUGUGGAACCGUACUCUAAACCGACACAGGUGGUCAGGUAGAGAAUACUAAGGCGCUUGAGAGAACUCGGGUGAAGGAACUAGGCAAAAUGGUACCGUAACUUCGGGAGAAGGUACGCCGACCAUGGUGAUGGGACUUGCUCCCUAAGCUGAGGUCGGUCGCAGUGACCUGGUGGCUGCAACUGUUUAUUAAAAACACAGCACUCUGCUAAUUCGAAAGAAGACGUAUAGGGUGUGACACCUGCCCGGUGCCGGAAGGUUAAUUGAUGGGGUUAGCGUAAGCGAAGCUCUUGAUCGAAGCCCCAGUAAACGGCGGCCGUAACAAUAACGGUCCUAAGGUAGCGAAAUUCCUUGUCGGGUAAGUUCCGACCUGCACGAAUGGCGUAACGAUGGCCACACUGUCUCCUCCCGAGACUCAGCGAAGUUGAAAUGUUUGUGAUGAUGCAAUCUCCCCGCGGAAAGACGGAAAGACCCCAUGAACCUUUACUGUAGCUUUGCAUUGGACUUUGAAUCAAUCUGUGUAGGAUAGGUGGGAGGCUUUGAAGUGUGGACGCCAGUCUGCAUGGAGCCGACCUUGAAAUACCACCCUUUAAUGUUUGAUGUUCUAACGUUGACCCGUAAUCCGGGUUGCGGACAGUGUCUGGUGGGUAGUUUGACUGGGGCGGUCUCCUCCCAAAGAGUAACGGAGGAGCACGAAGGUUGGCUAAGUACGGUCGGACAUCGUACGGUUAGUGUAAUGGUAGAAGCCAGCUUAACUGCGAGACAGACACGUCGAGCAGGUACGAAAGUAGGUCAUAGUGAUCCGGUGGUUCUGAAUGGAAGGGCCAUCGCUCAACGGAUAAAAGGUACUCCGGGGAUAACAGGCUGAUACCGCCCAAGAGUUCAUAUCGACGGCGGUGUUUGGCACCUCGAUGUCGGCUCAUCACAUCCUGGGGCUGAAGUCGGUCCCAAGGGUAUGGCUGUUCGCCAUUUAAAGUGGUACGCGAGCUGGGUUUAGAACGUCGUGAGACAGUUCGGUCCCUAUCUGCCGUGGGCGUUGGAAGAUUGAAGGGGGCUGCUCCUAGUACGAGAGGACCGGAGUGGACGAACCUCUGGUGUUCGGGUUGUCAUGCCAAUGGCAUUGCCCGGUAGCUACGUUCGGAAUCGAUAACCGCUGAAAGCAUCUAAGCGGGAAGCGAGCCCUGAGAUGAGUAAUCCCUAGAGCUUUAAGCUCUCUAAAGGGUUGUUGGAGACUAC